RNAcentral lists this non-coding RNA (780 nucleotides) under Tribolium audax (American black flour beetle). Lineage: Eukaryota; Metazoa; Arthropoda; Insecta; Coleoptera; Tenebrionidae. The record is from RNAcentral.
GUAGUUUUUUUCUUUAUAGGAAAGUUUUAUUUUAGCUUUGAAAUUAACUGAUUAAUUUUUAUAUAUGUAAAUUAUUGUGUAUUUUAAUUUUUAAUAAAUUAAUUUAUUUUGCAGUGUGUAGAUUUAAAUUUUAAGGGAAUUUAGAUUUAGAAAUUUAAUUUAGUAUGGACAAAAUUUGUGCCAGCAGUUGCGGUUAUACAAAUUAGGCAAGUUAAUUAUAUUUAGUUCAAUUAGGUGAGAAUUUUUAAAUUUAAAAUAAAACUUUUUAGGUGAAAUUUUAAGUUUUAUGUAAAUUUAUUAAUUAAUUCUGAGGUUGGGAAAUUUACUUAAAAACUAGGAUUAGAUACCCUAUUAUUCUAAAUGUUAUUAUUUAACUAAAAUUAUUAUAAGUUAUGUUCUUUAAAGUUAAAGAAUUUGGCGGUAUUUUAGUCUUUUCAGAGGAACCUGUUUUUUAAUUGAUAGUCCACGAUAAGCUUUACUUUAACUAUUAAUUUAUAUAUCGUCGUUUACAAGAAUUUUAGUAGAAUUUAAAUUCUUGGGAUUUUUAAUUAUAAUAUAAUUCAGAUCAAGGUGUAGUUGAUGUUAAAGUUAAAAUGGGUUACAUUAUAGUAUAUAUGUGUUUAUUGAUUUCAAAAUUCAAUAUAAAAUGGAUUUGAUAGUAAUUUUAUUGUUUUUGUAAAAUGAUUAAGCUCUAAAAUAUGCACAUAUUGCCCGUCGCUUUCAUUAUAAGUGAAACAAGUCGUAACAAAGUAGGCUUAUUGGAAAAUGAGCCUGGAAUGA